Molecule: ribosomal RNA, 602 nt
Filed under: Acinetobacter baumannii OIFC143
Lineage: Bacteria; Pseudomonadati; Pseudomonadota; Gammaproteobacteria; Moraxellales; Moraxellaceae
Description: bacterial SSU rRNA
Rfam family: Bacterial small subunit ribosomal RNA
Source: RNAcentral
AUGCAAGUCGAGCGGGGGAAGGUAGCUUGCUACCGGACCUAGCGGCGGACGGGUGAGUAAUGCUUAGGAAUCUGCCUAUUAGUGGGGGACAACAUCUCGAAAGGGAUGCUAAUACCGCAUACGUCCUACGGGAGAAAGCAGGGGAUCUUCGGACCUUGCGCUAAUAGAUGAGCCUAAGUCGGAUUAGCUAGUUGGUGGGGUAAAGGCCUACCAAGGCGACGAUCUGUAGCGGGUCUGAGAGGAUGAUCCGCCACACUGGGACUGAGACACGGCCCAGACUCCUACGGGAGGCAGCGGUGGGGAAUAUCGGACAAUGGGGGGAACCCUGAUCCAGCCAUGCCGCGUGUGUGAAGAAGGCCUUAUGGUUGUAAAGCACUUUAAGCGAGGAGGAGGCUACUUUAGUUAAUACCUAGAGAUAGUGGACGUUACUCGCAGAAUAAGCACCGGCUAACUCUGUGCCAGCAGCCGCGGUAAUACAGAGGGUGCGAGCGUUAAUCGGAUUUACUGGGCGUAAAGCGUGCGUAGGCGGCUUAUUAAGUCGGAUGUGAAAUCCCCGAGCUUAACUUGGGAAUUGCAUUCGAUACUGGUGAGCUAGAGUAUGG